This is a transfer RNA of Moniliophthora roreri MCA 2997, 94 nucleotides long. It matches the Rfam family "tRNA". From Rfam's summary of the family: Transfer RNA (tRNA) molecules are approximately 80 nucleotides in length. Their secondary structure includes four short double-helical elements and three loops (D, anti-codon, and T loops). Lineage: Eukaryota; Fungi; Basidiomycota; Agaricomycetes; Agaricales; Marasmiaceae. The record is from Rfam.
GGCGCUAUAGCCAAGUGGUUACGGCGACAGAUUAGAACCCUUGCAUCUCAUCUCUUCCUCUUUGAGGGCGCAGGUUCGAAUCCUGCUGGCGUCG